GUGGGGAAUAUUCCGCAAUGGACGAAAGUCUGACGGAGCAACGCCGCGUGAGUGAUGAAGGUUUUCGGACUGUAAAGCUCUGUUGUUUAGGACGAAAGUGCCUGUUGCGAACAGUUACAGGUAUUGACGGUACUGAACGAGGAAGCCACGGCUAACUACGUGCCAGCAGCCGCGGUAAUACGUAGGUGGCAAGCGUUGUCCGGAAUUAUUGGGCGUAAAGAGCAUGUAGGCGGGAAUCUAAGUCUGUUGUGAAAAUGCGGGGCUCAACCCCGUAUUGCGAUGGAAACUGGGUUUCUUGAGUGCAGGAGAGGAAAGGGGAAUUCCCAGUGUAGCGGUGAAAUGCGUAGAUAUUGGGAGGAACACCAGUGGCGAAGGCGCCUUUCUGGACUGUGUCUGACGCUGAGAUGCGAAAGCCAGGGUAGCGAACGGGAUUAGAAACCCCUGUAGUCC
RNAcentral lists this ribosomal RNA (450 nucleotides) under uncultured bacterium. RNAcentral's name for it is "partial 16S ribosomal RNA". It matches the Rfam family "Bacterial small subunit ribosomal RNA", at positions 354 to 796 of the family's 1533-position model. The record is from RNAcentral.